GACGAACGCUGGCGGCGUGGAUUAGGCAUGCAAGUCGAACGGUAUCAUCCUUUCGGGGGUGAGAGAGUGGCGAACUGGUGAGUAACACGUAGGUUAUCUACCCUCAAGACGGGGACAACCCAGGGAAACUUGGGCUAAUACCGGAUGUGAGCAACUUUUAGUUGUUUGAAAGGUGGCGUAAGCUGUCGCUUGGGGAUGAGCCUGCGUCCUAUUAGUUAGUUGGUGAGGUAACGGCUCACCUAGGCAAUGAUAGGUAGGCGGCCUUAACGGGUGGUCGCCCACACUGGGAUUGAGAUACGGCCCAGACUCCUACGGGAGGCAGCAGUCGAGAAUAGUCCACAAUGGUCGGAAGACUGAUAGUGCGACGCCGCGUGAACGAUGAAUCCCUUCGGGGUGUAAAGUUCUUUUAUAUGUGAGCAGUGCUUCUUAUAUUAACAGUAUGGGGAGAGAGAUAUUAGCAUAUGAAUAAGCAACGGCUAACUCCGUGCCAGCAGCCGCGGUAA
RNAcentral lists this ribosomal RNA (503 nucleotides) under uncultured bacterium. Its description in RNAcentral is "bacterial SSU rRNA". It matches the Rfam family "Bacterial small subunit ribosomal RNA", at positions 28 to 523 of the family's 1533-position model. The record is from RNAcentral.